UGGGAAUUCCUCGUGUUGCACCCUU
Molecule: ribosomal RNA, 25 nt
Filed under: Spinacia oleracea (spinach)
Lineage: Eukaryota; Viridiplantae; Streptophyta; Magnoliopsida; Caryophyllales; Amaranthaceae
Source: RNAcentral